Dama dama (fallow deer) is the source of this 592-nucleotide long non-coding RNA. RefSeq lists it as uncharacterized. The record is from RefSeq and is a predicted model, not a curated record. Lineage: Eukaryota; Metazoa; Chordata; Mammalia; Artiodactyla; Cervidae. The transcript is spliced from 3 exons.
GCUCUGCCUUUCGGGAGUGUGUCCCAGGAACGCCCUGUUCCUCACCCACCACCCCUUUCUGUGUGUGUCAGGCCUGCAGGCGGCAUGCAGAGAGUGAGGGGAGGCUUCGGAGGAGGCUGCAGUGGGGCAGUUUCUGCCAGGGAGGAGAUGGAAGCCCACCCUGACCUCCUCUGGCUCUUGAGGCCACCUGGACUUCCUCUGUUGAAGAAUGUUGCCUCUUUCACGUGCUAAUCUCCCAUCCCAAGCUGGACCCUCUGACUGGGACCCCAAAGAGGGCUGUAUCUCCAGAGGCCGGCAAGAACCCAGCAGAGGGCAGCCGUGGGGGCCAGGUGUCGGAUGAGGAAACAGAGGUCCUGAGAGGGGAAAGGGCUGGCUUGUGUCUGGAAGCAGAGAUGGUGGCUCAGCUGGAGACGUCCGAGGGAGGGCCCCAUCCUCCCGGGUUAGUGCUCUCAAGGAGGCGAGCUGUCCCCUGCCUGCCGUGUAUCUGGCCGAUACCCCAGCCUCUGUUUACCCAGCCCAGCGCCCAAGAGCUGCCUCUUCCGCCUGCUCCGGAGUCUCGGGUGCCUUCACAAUAGGAUUCUCUGUCUGUGCA